Molecule: ribosomal RNA, 407 nt
Filed under: uncultured bacterium
Lineage: Bacteria
Description: partial 16S ribosomal RNA
Rfam family: Bacterial small subunit ribosomal RNA
Source: RNAcentral
AUUGAACGCUGGCGGCAGGCCUAACACAUGCAAGUCGAGCGGAACGGCAGUCGGGUGAGUGAGUCAUAGGAAUCUGCCUGGUCGUGGGGGAUAACGUCCGGCAACGGGCGCUAAUACUGCCUGCUAUCAGAUGAGCCUAGGUCGGAUUAGCUAGUUGGUGGGGUAACGGCCUACCAACGCGACGAUCCGUAACUGGUCCGAGAGGAUGAACAGCCACACUGGAACUGAGACACGGUCCAGACUCCUACGGGAGGCAGCAGUGGGGAAUAUUGGACAAUGGGCGAAAGCCUGAUCCAGCCAUGCCGCGUGUGUGAAGAAGGUCUUCGGAUUGUAAAGCACUUUAAGUUGGGAGGCGUUACCAGCAGAAGAAGCACCGGCUAACUUCGUGCCAGCAGCCGCGGUAAUUC